GUAGGUGGCAAGCGUUGUCCGGAAUUAUUGGGCGUAAAGCGCGCGCAGGCGGGGUCCUUUAAGUCUGAUGUGAAAGCCCACGGGCUCAACCGUGGAGGGUCAUUGGAGACUGGGGGACUUGAGUACAGAAGAGGAAAGCGGAAUUCCAAGUGUAGCGGUGAAAUGCGUAGAGAUUUGGAGGAACACCAGUGGCGAAGGCGGCUUUCUGGUCUGUAACUGACGCUGAGGCGCGAAAGCGUGGGGAGCAAACAGGAUUAGAUACCCUGGUAGUCCACGCCGUAAACGAUGAGUGCUAAGUGUUAGGGGGUUUCCGCCCCUUAGUGCUGCAGCUAACGCAUUAGCACUCCGCCUGGGGAGUACGGCCGCAAGGCUG
Molecule: ribosomal RNA, 373 nt
Filed under: uncultured organism
Description: partial 16S ribosomal RNA
Rfam family: Bacterial small subunit ribosomal RNA
Source: RNAcentral